UGAGUACGUGGACGUAGACCCGAAACCGGGUGAUCUACCCCUGUCCAGGGUGAAGGUGCGGUAACACGCACUGGAGGCCCGAACCCACGCAUGUUGAAAAAUGCGGGGAUGAGGUGGGGGUAGCGGAGAAAUUCCAAUCGAACCCGGAGAUAGCUGGUUCUCCCCGAAAUAGCUUUAGGGCUAGCCUCGGAAAGAAGAAUCGUGGAGGUAGAGCACUGAUUGGGUGCGGGGCCCGCAAGGGUUACCAAGCUCAGUCAAACUCCGAAUGCCAUAGAUUUAGUUCCGGGAGUCAGACAGUGAGUGCUAAGAUCCAUUGUCGAAAGGGAAACAGCCCAGACCAUCAGCUAAGGUCCCCAAGUGUGUGUUAAGUGGGAAAGGAUGUGGAGUUGCACAGACAACCAGGAUGUUGGCUUAGAAGCAGCCACCAUUGAAAGAGUGCGUAAUAGCUCACUGGUCGAGUGACUCUGCGCCGAAAAUGUAACGGGGCUAAACACACCACCGAAGCUAUGGCUUGAUGCUUGCAUCAGGGGUAGGGGAGCGUUGAAUGCGGGUUGAAGGUGUACCGGAAGGAGCGCUGGACUGCAUUCAAGUGAGAAUGCCGGUAUGAGUAACGAAAAGAUCUGUGAGAAUCAGAUCCGCCGAAAGCCUAAGGGUUCCUGAGGAAGGUUCGUCCGCUCAGGGUAAGUCGGGACCUAAGGCGAGGCCGAUAGGCGUAGUCGAAGGACAACAGGUCGAAAUUCCUGUACCACCGUAAUCCG
This 758-nucleotide ribosomal RNA is filed under the name Paenibacillus polymyxa. RNAcentral's name for it is "partial 23S ribosomal RNA". It matches the Rfam family "Bacterial large subunit ribosomal RNA", at positions 696 to 1456 of the family's 2925-position model. The record is from RNAcentral. Lineage: Bacteria; Bacillati; Bacillota; Bacilli; Caryophanales; Paenibacillaceae.